Molecule: non-coding RNA, 290 nt
Organism: Camelina sativa (false flax)
Lineage: Eukaryota; Viridiplantae; Streptophyta; Magnoliopsida; Brassicales; Brassicaceae
Source: RefSeq, a predicted model, not a curated record
AGAAAAACACAUUUCUCUGAAGAAAAAUCUUUGAAUUCAUGAAGUCAGAAGAGAGAAACUGAAGAGGUGUUUGUUGAGACAGACAAUGGAGCUUCUACCUUUUUCACUUUGUCUUCCAUGUGCAAGACCGAAAAAGAACGUGACGCAUGAUACGAACGGCUGAAUAUUUCGCCACGUGUCUUCCGAAUUAAAAAAAUGGUUCGAUCGUACAGCAUCUCGCUUCAGCCGCGUGACACCUGAUCAUUACCAAAUUACUUAGCGCAAAACAACGCCACGUAACGUCCCCUCAU